AGUGAACGCUGGCGGUAGGCCUAACACAUGCAAGUCGAACGGCAGCACAGUAAGAGCUUGCUCUUACGGGUGGCGAGUGGCGGACGGGUGAGGAAUACAUCGGAAUCUACUUUUUCGUGGGGGAUAACGUAGGGAAACUUACGCUAAUACCGCAUACGACCUACGGGUGAAAUCAGGGGAUCUUCGGACCUUGCGCGAUUGUAUGAGCCGAUGUCGGAUUAGCUAGUUGGCGGGGUAAAGGCCCACCAAGGCGACGAUCCGUAGCUGGUCUGAGAGGAUGAUCAGCCACACUGGAACUGAGACACGGUCCAGACUCCUACGGGAGGCAGCAGUGGGGAAUAUUGGACAAUGGGCGCAAGCCUGAUCCAGCCAUACCGCGUGGGUGAAGAAGGCCUUCGGGUUGUAAAGCCCUUUUGUUGGGAAAGAAAAGCAGCAGGUUAAUACCCCGCUGUUCUGACGGUACCAAAAGAAUAAGCACCGGCUAACUUCGUG
RNAcentral lists this ribosomal RNA (492 nucleotides) under uncultured bacterium. RNAcentral describes it as "partial 16S ribosomal RNA". It matches the Rfam family "Bacterial small subunit ribosomal RNA", at positions 29 to 507 of the family's 1533-position model. The record is from RNAcentral.